Ameiurus melas (black bullhead) is the source of this 70-nucleotide non-coding RNA. The record is from the annotation of a GenBank genome assembly. NCBI's taxonomy places the organism in Eukaryota, Metazoa, Chordata, Actinopteri, Siluriformes, Ictaluridae.
UCCCUGGUUGUCUAUUGGUAAGGAUUCGGCGCCUCACCGGCCGGCCCGGGUUCGGUUCCCGGUCAGGGAA